Long non-coding RNA from Hemicordylus capensis (graceful crag lizard), 397 nucleotides. RefSeq lists it as uncharacterized. The transcript has 3 exons. Lineage: Eukaryota; Metazoa; Chordata; Lepidosauria; Squamata; Cordylidae. The record is from RefSeq and is a predicted model, not a curated record.
CUUGGACACCAAAGGAGAUGCCUUUCUGGUCACCUAACAGCUAAUCAUGCUACCUCCCACUCUCCUUCCUAGUUAUAUUACUAAGGCUGCAAUCUUAACUACACAAAGGAGAGCAGACCCUCACCUGCCAAUCUGGAGCAGACAUUCACCUGCUUAUCUGAGGGAGAGGAUAUAUCAAGAGCAAGUGCUCCACAGAGUGUGCAGAGUGCAGGCCAUUCACAGCUUUAAAGCAUCAAGGAGAAAAGUCUGCUGUCCUCUGGGAAAUAUUUAUUCAGUAGCCCACAGAAAAAAUACAGCUUCCAAGGCCUACCACAAUUUUCUUCCUGUGCAUGCUGGAAGGCGGAUGGAGAUAUCAGAUUUCCCUUCUUCCCUCUUACUCUGAACAGAGUUCCUCUGU